AUAUCAAUAAGCGGAGGAAAAGAAACCAACAGGGAUUGCCUCAGUAACGGCGAGUGAAGCGGCAACAGCUCAAAUUUGAAAUCUGGCUCUUUUAGGGCCCGAGUUGUAAUUUGUAGAGGAUGCUUCGGCGUCGGCUCCGGUCUAAGUUCCUUGGAACAGGACGUCAUAGAGGGUGAGAAUCCCGUAUGUGACUGGUGGCAUUUGUCCGUGUAAAGCUCUUUCGACGAGUCGAGUUGUUUGGGAAUGCAGCUCAAAAUGGGUGGUAUAUUUCAUCUAAAGCUAAAUAUUGGCCAGAGACCGAUAGCGCACAAGUA
This 314-nucleotide ribosomal RNA is filed under the name uncultured Helotiales. Its description in RNAcentral is "partial large subunit ribosomal RNA". It matches the Rfam family "Eukaryotic large subunit ribosomal RNA", at positions 40 to 350 of the family's 3401-position model. Lineage: Eukaryota; Fungi; Ascomycota; Leotiomycetes; Helotiales. The record is from RNAcentral.